ACGCCGUCCCGAGCGGCGUUCGCGGCCUCGAACGGGCCAAGGCGGGGGUGGUGCCGUGUCGGCGCAGCACCACCCCCUAC
Molecule: non-coding RNA, 80 nt
Filed under: Streptomyces sp. WM6386
Lineage: Bacteria; Bacillati; Actinomycetota; Actinomycetes; Kitasatosporales; Streptomycetaceae
Description: Streptomyces RNA 6106
Rfam family: Streptomyces RNA 6106
About the family: Identified by deep sequencing of transcriptome at the end of exponential growth phase. Appears smaller on northern blot than sequencing transcript. This indicates processing step.
Source: Rfam by way of RNAcentral